CGGACGGGUGAGUAACACGUGGAUAACCUACCUAUAAGACUGGGAUAACUUCGGGAAACCGGAGCUAAUACCGGAUAAUAUAUUGAACCGCAUGGUUCAAUAGUGAAAGACGGUUUUGCUGUCACUUAUAGAUGGAUCCGCGCCGCAUUAGCUAGUUGGUAAGGUAACGGCUUACCAAGGCAACGAUGCGUAGCCGACCUGAGAGGGUGAUCGGCCACACUGGAACUGAGACACGGUCCAGACUCCUACGGGAGGCAGCAGUC
RNAcentral lists this ribosomal RNA (263 nucleotides) under uncultured Staphylococcus sp. RNAcentral describes it as "partial 16S ribosomal RNA". It matches the Rfam family "Bacterial small subunit ribosomal RNA", at positions 99 to 355 of the family's 1533-position model. Lineage: Bacteria; Bacillati; Bacillota; Bacilli; Caryophanales; Staphylococcaceae. The record is from RNAcentral.